AUCAAUUUUUACUCUUCGUCUUAUUUAAAUUAUUUUACAAUUAACAUUUUUGUUUUUAUUAGAUGAUAAAUCAUAAAUAGUACUUUACGCGCGACUAUUUUUUUUUAAUUUUUUGAAAUUUUUUCAAAUAAGACGGAUGGUCAAACACCGUACACGAAAACCAA
RNAcentral lists this microRNA precursor (164 nucleotides) under Oryza brachyantha (malo sina). RNAcentral describes it as "MIR812 microRNA precursor family". It matches the Rfam family "MIR812 microRNA precursor family", at positions 27 to 191 of the family's 205-position model. Lineage: Eukaryota; Viridiplantae; Streptophyta; Magnoliopsida; Poales; Poaceae. The record is from Rfam by way of RNAcentral.